Long non-coding RNA from Strongylocentrotus purpuratus (purple sea urchin), 568 nucleotides. RefSeq lists it as uncharacterized. The transcript has 2 exons. NCBI's taxonomy places the organism in Eukaryota, Metazoa, Echinodermata, Echinoidea, Camarodonta, Strongylocentrotidae. The record is from RefSeq and is a predicted model, not a curated record.
CUUUGUCUUGGGAAUAGGGAAUAGUGGGGUUGUUUGCCUGGUUUGGAAGAAAGAUUGGCUUUCUCGUUGAGAGCAAGUUUAGACUUCAAGGCAGAUAGACGUGUGAUGUAACUUCCCCCAGAAGUUACUAUGUCGCAGCUUUUUAAGACCUGCCUUGAUUUUGUUUCUUAACAGAGUUCCACCAUGGUUCCACCAUGGUUCCACUUCCAUUUCCCUCGGGACAAGAGUUGGGACUGCUGUCGUUGUUCAGGCAACGCUCUCCGCCUGAUCGAUGUAUUUAGUGCUUAUUGACGAACGACUUGUGUUUAUCAUUUGUACUUCAUAUGAACAUCUAUUCUUUUCUUCUAUUCCCUAAUAUGUUUCUACUGUACAGUGUAGUUUACUUUGCUCCUUUUCUAUCAUUUAUUGUACCUGUACGAUACAUUGUUAAGCUUUGCAUGUAGCUGUUUUUGUAAGAAUUGUUUGUUUGAAAUCGAAAUGCCAGUUGUCACACUGGGAAUUUAUUAUCGGUGUACCUUUGACACUGAAUAUUAAUAAAUACCUCUUUGGAAUUAUCAUUGGCACAAAA